CAUCGCCUCCCGAUACCAUGGGAGGUCCAGCCUGCCCAGUGACUUCUGUUCAACGGCCGCGGUAUCCUAACCGUGCGAAGGUAGCGUAAUCACUUGUUUUUUAAAUAAAGACUAGUAUGAAAGGCAUCACGAAGGUCUAACUGUCUCCUUUUUCUAAUCAGUGAAACUAAUCUCCCCGUGAAGAACCGCGGAUAAACAUAUAAGACGAGAAGACCCUAUGGAGCUUUAAACAUAGUAAUAUCUGCCACAACAUUCCCCCCUUCCAGAAUAUUUACCCGUUACAGCAUAUUAAUUACAAGUUUUAGGUUGGGACGACCACGGAGAAAAAUCCACCCUCCACAUUGAACGGCAUACCCUAAUCAACAAGCUACAACUUUAUGAAUCAACAAAUUGACUUCCAUUGACCCAAUAAAUUUGAUCAACGAACCAAGUUACCCUAGGGAUAACAGCGCAAUCCGCUUCAAGAGCUCCUAUCGACAAGCGGGUUUACGACCUCGAUGUUGGAUCAGGGCAUCCUAGUGGUGCAGCCGCUACUAA
This is a ribosomal RNA of 537 nucleotides. It matches the Rfam family "Bacterial large subunit ribosomal RNA", at positions 1814 to 2568 of the family's 2925-position model.